This is a long non-coding RNA of Chroicocephalus ridibundus (black-headed gull), 661 nucleotides long. RefSeq lists it as uncharacterized. The record is from RefSeq and is a predicted model, not a curated record. The transcript is spliced from 3 exons. Lineage: Eukaryota; Metazoa; Chordata; Aves; Charadriiformes; Laridae.
AGUGCCGGCGCGGGGGUGCGGGGGGUUCAGCAGGUGGCUGAGGGGGGGCAAAGCCAGCGGCCGCCCCGUGGCAGCGGCGAGGCUGGAGGUGCUCAGCAGAGCUCUCUGGAUGGGGGCAAACAGCCAGGGAGGGCUCGGGGGGGGGAGGCGGGUUGUUUAGGAGGUAUAUAAACAGCCCUGUGAGGACUCAGGACGAAUCUGCCUGGCUGUGGGGAGGGGUCAUCGGGUGAUGGAAUACUUGUCUAAAGGACUAUAAAUCGCUGUGGGUUCCUCAAACCAUAACACUAUGGGACCACCACCCAGAGAAAUGCUCCUUCUGACCUAUGCACCCGCCUCUGCAGGGACCUGCAUCUGCAGCUUUCUACUUCCCAAGAGACAUUUUGGCUCCAGGAAUUCUCUCCAGCCCAUCCCUAUCCCCUGGGGCCUCUGGCUCCUCACUAAGUGCUGCCUUCUACCCACGCACUGGGCAAGCUGGGCUUUGGACACGGUCUCUCAUAGCAUCCUCGUGAGUGAGCUGACCAGGUCUGGGUCAGGUGUCGCAGAGGAUCAACCCCCCUGAAACCGAGAGCCCCGAACCCACCAAACCUGGGAGGAAGGUUGGGUUGACUCAGCCGAGUGAGAAAUGCCCCCACCGACCUCCACCGGGUGGAGGAAGCAUCCU